Molecule: ribosomal RNA, 608 nt
Filed under: Stephanostomum sp. 1 JB-2023
Lineage: Eukaryota; Metazoa; Platyhelminthes; Trematoda; Opisthorchiida; Acanthocolpidae
Description: partial large subunit ribosomal RNA
Source: RNAcentral
CUUUGAGAGAGAGUAAACAGUGCGUGAAACCGCUCAGAGGUAAACGGGUGGAGUUGAACUGCAAGCUCUGGGAAUUCAGCUGGUGAGCAUGUUUUGGGCUUGGUCAAAUCGGUUGUUGUCUGGGGUCUGCUUAGCUGCAGGUCUCUGCCUUCGGGUGGGGAUGUGCGAGGCACUUAUCAAGUGUUGUGCGCCCUGGAGCAAUCGAGCCGGCUUGCCAGUGCACUUUCUCAGAGUGGUCACCACGACCGGUACUGCUGUCUGGCUGUUGUGGUUAAACCGGUCUUGCAUUGGCCUUGUGUCUUUGCUUGGUCGGGACGGCAGGUAGCCCGUUGGCUUGUCUGUGGUUCGCCGCAGGCGUACGGCUUUCGGGUGUAAUCAGCUGACCAUGAUGGUUCUGUGCAGUGUGUCGGAGAUGGCGGCUUGUGGUGCAUGCGUGCGUUGCCUUGUACUGGCGGGUCUGAGUUUGGUUGCUUUGUUGCUUGUUCAAGCAGGCCUGGCGAUGGCUCGGAUUUGUUCGGUGCUUGGUGGCGUGUGUUGUGCUGAUACCAGGGCCAAUAGUCUGUGGUGUAGUGGUAGACGAUCCACCUGACCCGUCUUGAAACACGGAC